CCUAUGGCGACGCGGAGGGACAUUAAAGAGUUCUAUAACUCCCAAACCCCUGUGUACAUACCUCUUGUUGCCUCGGCAGGUCACGCCUGCGCAGUAGCGCCCUACCCUGUAGGACCUACCCGGUAGACACACCAGCCUCGGUUCCACUAGGGGAUAAUGCUUUACGAACGUAUCCUCCUAUGCGAGUGCUACAACUGACUGCAUAAUCCCCUUGUGAGGAGAAAAGCUUUAAGACCGUACCUCCUAUGCGAGUGUUACAACUUUACUGCAUAAUACCCUUGCGGGGACCGAGGACGCCUGCCCAGUAGUGCUACUCGAUAGACACCAGCAUCGGUUUCUAUAGGGGAUAAAAGCUUUAUAAAAGUACCCUCCUAUGCGAGCGUUACAGCCUUACUGCAUAAUAAUACCCUUGCAGGGAACGAUGACCUGCCGGCGGCCCACGAAACUCUGUUUAUUAUUGAAUUCUGACAGUAUAACUAAAUAAGUUAAAACUUUCAACAACGGAUCUCUUGGUUCUGGCAUCGAUGAAGAACGCAGCGAAAUGCGAUAAGUAAUGUGAAUUGCAGAAUUCAGUGAAUCAUCGAAUCUUUGAACGCACAUUGCGCCCAUUAGUAUUCUAGUGGGCAUGCCUGUUCGAGCGUCAUUUCAACCCUUAAGCCUCUGUUGCUUAGUGUUGGGGGCCUACAGCACUGUAGCCCCUCAAAGUUAGUGGCGGAGUCGGUUCACACUCUAGACGUAGUAGAUUUUAUCUCGCCUAUUAGUUGGACCGGUCCCCUGCCGUAAAACCCCUAAUUUUUAAAGGUUGACCUCGGAUCAGGUAGGAAUACCCGCUGAACUUAAGCUU
RNAcentral lists this ribosomal RNA (844 nucleotides) under Xylaria sp. RNAcentral's name for it is "eukaryotic LSU rRNA". The stretch from base 490 to 643 matches the Rfam family "5.8S ribosomal RNA". Lineage: Eukaryota; Fungi; Ascomycota; Sordariomycetes; Xylariales; Xylariaceae. The record is from RNAcentral.